CCAGAGAACUUUCCAGAGAUGGAUUGGUGCCUUCGGGAACUCUGAGACAGGUGCUGCAUGGCUGUCGUCAGCUCGUGUUGUGAAAUGUUGGGUUAAGUCCCGCAACGAGCGCAACCCUUAUCCUUUGUUGCCAGCGGUCCGGCCGGGAACUCAAAGGAGACUGCCAGUGAUAAACUGGAGGAAGGUGGGGAUGACGUCAAGUCAUCAUGGCCCUUACGAGUAGGGCUACACACGUGCUACAAUGGCGCAUACAAAGAGAAGCGACCUCGCGAGAGCAAGCGGACCUCAUAAAGUGCGUCGUAGUCCGGAUUGGAGUCUGCAACUCGACUCCAUGAAGUCGGAAUCGCUAGUAAUCGUGGAUCAGAAUGCCACGGUGAAUACGUUCCCGGGCCUUGUACACACCGCCCGUCACACCAUGGGAGUGGGUUGCAAAAGAAGUAGGUAGCUUAACCUUCGGGAGGGCGCUUACCACUUUGUGAUUCAUGACUGGGGUGAAGUCGUAACAAGGUAGGCGUAGUGCU
RNAcentral lists this ribosomal RNA (521 nucleotides) under uncultured bacterium. Its description in RNAcentral is "bacterial SSU rRNA". It matches the Rfam family "Bacterial small subunit ribosomal RNA", at positions 988 to 1509 of the family's 1533-position model. The record is from RNAcentral.